GAGCUCAUUGGACAUCCAUCCCUGAAGAAGAACAGCAGAUAUUUGGGAUUAUGGAAACCUUUCCUUAUUGUCAGUUUGACCACCCUCCCUUUGAUAAUGACAUAAAGCUCCUCAAGGUAUUGUUUUAAUUACUGGAUUAUUUUCAUGAAAGGAAUUUUGCUGAUGAUCAUUUUGGCUACUCUUUGGUACUGAAGAGUACAUUGUUUAGAUAACAGUAUCACAGAACAGUCUAUUUUUGGUUGUAUUAAUCUAGAUGAAGUUAGGCUCUGUGAGCAGAGGUGAUAUUUCAAGCCCAUUUUGUGCUCUAAAAAACCCUCUUUUUAAUCAAUUCUCUGCCACAACCCCUCCAAACCACAGAGCACAUUCUCCAGUAAUUUUUCAAAGGCAAUGCUGAAGGGACAUAUGCGAUGCAGUCUGGCUCACAUCUCUAUUCCAGCAUUAGGUCUUGUGCUAGACUAAGUAAGUAAAAAUGGAGAUGAAACUUACUGUUAAUUUUCUGGUGUAUGCAGGUAAAGUGAAAGUGUGGAUAAUACAGGACAUACAGACUCAGCUCUAGGAGCACAGACUGGUCACAAAGGGCAGUAAGCUCAGGACACUGCAGAAUGAAGCAUGGAAAAUGUCCUUGCCAACAUUAUCUUUUGAUGCCAAAGUGAGGCAGAGCUGUAAGAAUUUGAAAUUACAGGGAAGUUGGGACUAGAUGUGCUUUAAGGUCCCUUCCAACUGUAACAUUCUAUUAUUCUAUUAUUCUAUUAUUCUGUGACCAGAAUCUGGUAUUUAGUGUUUAGCUGGCAUCACAUUUGACAUAGCAAUGACAUGGGGAAAAAGGUAACCGUGUCCCUCUGUGUGCUAUCAGGAACACCCACAGGGAUCUGUGGCUGAUCAAGCACCUGAUCAUGGUUCAUCUCUGAGGAGCUUCUUCCCCCAGCUGUUGCUGAAUGAUACUGCCAAGCUGAAUAAAUAUGUGCAACUUUUCCUCUGCCUGACUUUUUUGAAGAUGUUGAACCUAGCACACUGUGGCUGGGUGGGGAGACAAAUCACCAGGAAAGCCAUUGAAAUAUCUCUGGAAGAAAGUCUUAAAAUUGCCAAUAGAAAAAUCUCUGACAAACAUUAUGCUGGUGACCCAAAAAUAACCAACAACAUGUAGUGUGCCCUACAGGGAAAAGUAAAUGAUAUCUGAGUGAUACUUGUGGGGUAAGAAGCCAAGUUACUAAGGGGGGACAUAUAUUUAACAAUGGUUCCCUUUUCACUGGGGAGAAAGCAGUGUCAGACAUCUUAGGAGGAUGAUCAUGUUUUAAGUGAUUUUAGCGACAUUUAUGAAAGACUUUAUUGCUGUGAAAAGGACUUGUUAAAGCUUUGUUUAGUUUAGGUCAGUGUACCAAUCAAGAUCAAGAGUAUGGCAAUUUGAGCUGGGAUUAUCUAUUAAUUUCAGGUAUAUUUCACUAGCUACAGUGCACUCCUUAGGCACCACCUGUAGUUAUGGGAGAAAAAGCAGAGCUAUCAGGGUCUCAAUUAUCUGAUCCUUCCCAAAAGUCCACCUCUGAGUAGUACAGCAUUAACUGCAUACUCAAAAGAGCUGUUUAGAUCUUGCUUUUGGUGCUCUCUGUGCUGAAUCCAGAAGAGACAACUGAUAAAGGGGUGAAAUUACAGGGAGGCUGGG
This 1657-nucleotide long non-coding RNA is filed under the name Zonotrichia albicollis (white-throated sparrow). RNAcentral's name for it is "lncRNA (ENSZALG00000005537.1)". The record is from RNAcentral. Lineage: Eukaryota; Metazoa; Chordata; Aves; Passeriformes; Passerellidae.